RNAcentral lists this ribosomal RNA (398 nucleotides) under uncultured bacterium. Its description in RNAcentral is "bacterial SSU rRNA". It matches the Rfam family "Bacterial small subunit ribosomal RNA", at positions 29 to 415 of the family's 1533-position model. The record is from RNAcentral.
AAUGAACGCUGGCGGCGCGCCUAAAUACAUGCAAGUCGAGCGAGAAGACGUAGCAAUACGUUUGUAAAGCGGCGAACGGGUGAGGAAUACAUGGGUAACCUACCCUCGAGUGGGGAAUAACUAGCCGAAAGGUUAGCUAAUACCGCGUACGCUUCUUGGACUUCGGUUCAGGGAGGAAAGCGAUACCGUGGGUAUCGCGCUCUUGGAUGGGCUCAUGUCCUAUCAGCUUGUUGGUGAGGUAACGGCUCACCAAGGCUUUGACGGGUAGCUGGUCUGAGAGGACGAUCAGCCACACUGGCACUGCGACACGGGCCAGACUCCUACGGGAGGCAGCAGUAAGGAAUAUUGCGCAAUGGGCGAAAGCCUGACGCAGCGACGCCGCGUGGGGGGAUGAAGGU